GCGAGAGUAGUCUAGUGGUUAUGAUGUCUGCUUUACAUUGGCGAAUGAAAGCGCAGAAGGUCGGGAGUUCGAUCCUCCCCUCUCGUA
The sequence is a transfer RNA, 87 nucleotides long. It matches the Rfam family "tRNA". Rfam says of the family: Transfer RNA (tRNA) molecules are approximately 80 nucleotides in length. Their secondary structure includes four short double-helical elements and three loops (D, anti-codon, and T loops).